GAGAGGCUUUAUUCAUUUACUGUUAUUUCAGUCAUGGAUGACAACCUCUUUGUUCUAGGUGCUGUAAAUUUGUAGAACAAACCCAGUGUUCCUGUGCCAAAGAGCAAGUCGGUUGUGUGUAAGGUGACACUGACUGAUACAGACACUCAGGAUUAAUGAGUGAGGGUCAGUGUGGAAGGCUGAGGUUUUGAAAUAUUGACAGGCAAACCACUCUCUCAUAUGUUAUACCUCCCGAGGAAAGGACAGUUCUGAGUAAGGCUUUAAAAUAUCAUAUAUAACUUACUUCUUUUUGCAUAUAUUUACUUUACAGCGACAAAGAAGGACGGGAAAAAGCACAAAUUUAAUAGAAAAUCAAAGCUGGGGAGGUGAGAGUCUACACGUGGAGAGUGAAUGAAAGUUGAUGAUGAGUUACAUAAUAGUUUGGAGUGAUCUAGAGAAGUGAAAACAAGGAGCUUAAGUUUUAUAUGUGCGAGAACAGAAAUCAGUGGACAAGGAAAGGUUGCAUUCAGAGUGUGAGUCCAAGAAAAGGGCCUCGCAGCAGCCAGUCUGCAUGGGGACAUGGACGUGUUUGUCAAGGUCAGAGAAAAAGAAUACUCUGAGAUGUCAGAGAGACCAGCCGAAACUUCAGUUUGAACAGAUAAAGACAGAUCCUGAGCAGAAAGUGCAUAUAAGACUGGUCAACUUAGAGGCAAUAGCUAAAUUCAUAAUUUUUCAGAGAAAAGAGAGGGCCAAACAAGGAUCUGAGAGAAAUCCUUGCUGAAUCCCUACCCAUAAGUGAAAGAAGACUGAUAAAUAGCCUCUGAAGGAAAAAUUAGAAAAGUUUCAGGAGAACCAAGAGAUAACGAAGGCACAAAAGCGAAAGGAAGAAAAGACUUUAAGUAGAUGGCAUGUCUGGUGUUGUUUCAGGUGGCCGACAGGUGAACAGGGAUAGGAGGAAGGCUCAUUCAUUCUGCAUCUUUACCUUGAAGAGACCAUUAGAGACUUGGAUUGGUUUCAGGGGAGUGAAAGGAUAGGUGUCAGAUUUGAGAGGUCCUAGGAUGUAAUAUGAAGAGAUUUGAAGAUACAGUAUCGUAAAUAAGUGUCUUCAAUGUGUUUAGAAAUGAGACAUAUCUAACGAGUGGAAAAGCAACUGAAAACACAAGUACAAAGUACAAGCAAAAGAUUUUUUUUUCUUUUCACAAUGAAUAAAUUUCCAUUUUCUUGUAUGUCGAAUAGGAAAGAGCUGCAAAAGAGUAAGAAUCUAAAGAAAACAGAAAGGUUAUUUUGCCCAUUUUCUCCAUCCUGAUAAAUAUAGGCAGAAAUAAAGCACCAGUUGAGAAGACAGGAGAGAGCAGUAAAAAGUUUGCUGAAUUUGCAAGAGAUUAAGUAGGGCAGUUUUAGAGUUGUUAAUGUUCACUUUAAAAGAGGGUCGAACUGAAAAAGAGAAUCUCUAGUCGUGUAUCCAUAGUCACCAGUGGUCAUCAGCAGCAUGGUGCAAUAUGACAGCAGCAGCCAUAUGUCGUAGACUGCUCCAAAGGAGGUAGGAUGAAGGAGACAUAUCUAUAGAAGAGGGCAAUUAAACACGUAGAAGUCAUGCCUGCUUUGUGAGUGAUUAAGACUUUUUUUUUUUCUUCCUAAAAACACUGCACAACUGGUCCAUCAGCAAAUCUCUUGUCUGGAAAAGUUGACACUUCUUUGUGAAUAUGUUCAAGAAGCUUUCAGGCAGGAAAUACAUUCCAGAUCAUUCACCUAGUUGGGAUAGGAUGAACUUUUCUUUAAAUCAUCCAUCCAGCAAGCAGUAGCAUGAAAUCGGCUGUGCUCCUGGAAGACUGGACGAGGACGUGUUUAUGGUGCUGAUUCUACGUUUACGGUGUUUAGGGCAGCUCGCGGGAGGGUGAGCUCUCCGCAGGAUGGUCUCCAAGAGGAGCUGCCGUGCGGAAGCGGCCGCCGCCGCUGCCCUGCACACUUGCCUGCUUCCGAGGCUCCGGCGGCGGCUGUGCUAAGCCAAAGGGAGCGGUGACGGUCAAGCUCUGACUCGUGAGGUAUCUAUCCACUCUACCAGAAGCGGAAAGAGUAACCUGCAGAAAAUAGGCUAUGACAGCUUGAUUACUGAUUUUUUAAAAAGGAAGAAGAAAAUAAUGAAGAGGCAAAUCUGCUGCGGAAGUGCACCUCAGAUCUGGAGCUGUGCUGCAGACAUCGACCAGCAUCGUUUCCCCAACCCAACCCCUUCCUCUCAUGUAAAGAACUGAAAUGCAGCAUCCCAUCAACAUUGUGGUUGCAGAGAAAGCCCAGUGCCGGCAGCAACGGACGGUCUGGUGUCCUCGGGCUGAGACGUGCCUGUGCCACACAGAGGGACGGGACACCCCGGCUUGUGGUGCCCCAGGCCAU
Molecule: long non-coding RNA, 2367 nt
Organism: Dromaius novaehollandiae (emu)
Lineage: Eukaryota; Metazoa; Chordata; Aves; Casuariiformes; Dromaiidae
Exons: 6
Source: RefSeq, a predicted model, not a curated record